This is a small nucleolar RNA of Ochotona curzoniae (black-lipped pika), 121 nucleotides long. RefSeq annotates it as small nucleolar RNA SNORA26. The transcript has a single exon. The record is from RefSeq and is a predicted model, not a curated record. Lineage: Eukaryota; Metazoa; Chordata; Mammalia; Lagomorpha; Ochotonidae.
AGGCCCUUGUGCCACUGACGCGGUGUGGCAUGAGCCCAACACAGGAGGGUAGAGAGACUCCUCCAUGAAACCCAGGGAUAAGGCCGCCCCUCCUCUCUGGAGCCUGUCUGGAGGCACAGUU